This is a long non-coding RNA of Bufo bufo (common toad), 267 nucleotides long. RefSeq lists it as uncharacterized. NCBI's taxonomy places the organism in Eukaryota, Metazoa, Chordata, Amphibia, Anura, Bufonidae. The transcript is spliced from 3 exons. The record is from RefSeq and is a predicted model, not a curated record.
GCAUGCGGGAGACGUGUAGACAUCAUCCAAGAGAAAGUACAGCGGAAGGCGUGCAAUUACAAGUCCUGCGGCCUCUAGUAAGGAGCGAGUGUCCUUGUGCGUGCAAGUGGAUGAGAUUACAGGGGUUUGCCUCUAGGAGAACGGUUUCCAAGCUGCGUCCAAUGUCCAUGUGAAUUCUCGUCGUUCACAGCUGCCCUGUGGUUUCUCCGGCUAGGACCCCCCCCACAGGAAUUCCAGAUGUUUUUUCUUGUGUACCAGAACCAGAGA